Molecule: ribosomal RNA, 244 nt
Filed under: uncultured bacterium
Lineage: Bacteria
Description: partial 16S ribosomal RNA
Rfam family: Bacterial small subunit ribosomal RNA
Source: RNAcentral
CAACGUGAGCAACCUGCCUUUCAGUGGGGGACAACAUUUGGAAACGAAUGCUAAUACCGCAUAAGACCACAGUGUCGCAUGGCACAGGGGUCAAAGGAUUUAUCCGCUGAAAGAUGGGCUCGCGUCCGAUUAGCUAGAUGGUGAGGUAACGGCCCACCAUGGCGACGAUGCGUAGCCGACCUGAGAGGGUGAUCGGCCACAUUGGGACUGAGACACGGCCCAGACUCCUACGGGAGGCAGCAUG